Molecule: ribosomal RNA, 392 nt
Filed under: Escherichia coli
Lineage: Bacteria; Pseudomonadati; Pseudomonadota; Gammaproteobacteria; Enterobacterales; Enterobacteriaceae
Also listed under: 8 other names
Description: partial 23S ribosomal RNA
Rfam family: Bacterial large subunit ribosomal RNA
Source: RNAcentral
UGGUGGGUAGUUUGACUGGGGCGGUCUCCUCCUAAAGAGUAACGGAGGAGCACGAAGGUUGGCUAAUCCUGGUCGGACAUCAGGAGGUUAGUGCAAUGGCAUAAGCCAGCUUGACUGCGAGCGUGACGGCGCGAGCAGGUGCGAAAGCAGGUCAUAGUGAUCCGGUGGUUCUGAAUGGAAGGGCCAUCGCUCAACGGAUAAAAGGUACUCCGGGGAUAACAGGCUGAUACCGCCCAAGAGUUCAUAUCGACGGCGGUGUUUGGCACCUCGAUGUCGGCUCAUCACAUCCUGGGGCUGAAGUAGGUCCCAAGGGUAUGGCUGUUCGCCAUUUAAAGUGGUACGCGAGCUGGGUUUAGAACGUCGUGAGACAGUUCGGUCCCUAUCUGCCGUGG